Molecule: long non-coding RNA, 1914 nt
Filed under: Homo sapiens (human)
Lineage: Eukaryota; Metazoa; Chordata; Mammalia; Primates; Hominidae
Description: HSALNT0220473
Source: RNAcentral
GCAGGGACCUUUUCACAUUGAAGAGGCGGGGCAAUGGAUUCAAAUGAGCAUCACUCACUUACGGCUUGUCACUCACCCUUGCUAGGCCAAAGCCAUUUAUAAUUGCUGUCAUCUAAACUGCACUGAAACGAACUGGACAUUCAAAGAGCGCAGCUCCCAAGAAACAAGGCAGGCCUUUCAGUGAUGUCCCUGCUGGGGCCACCAGCACAAAGGAGUGUUGUACCUAUAAUGUCAUCGGAGCCCUUGAAGGAAGAUCUAAGCACUGUCUUUGUCUUUAUAGGAAAUUUGGCCCCCACAUGUAAAUGUGCGAAACCGAAACUGCCUUUCAUUUAGGCCAAGGUCAUUACUGAGGAAACAGCAGACAGAAUUUUGGCAAAAUAUCAAAUAUUUUCAAUAAUUCAACCAUUUGAAAAAGAAUACUGCUUGUUUCGGAAUAUAAAUGAGAGUGAGUAGUAGAAAUAAGAAAUCCAAGCUAGGGACCAAAGAAAACUAAGCUAAGGACUCUCACAGAUAUGAUAAAUGGGCAUGCACAAAGAUGUUCAUAGAAGUAUUAUUAAGAAUUGGAAAUAACCUACUAUCUAGCAAUAAUGAAUUUAAAAAGAUAAACUGUGGCAUAUACAUAUUAUGAAGCUAUUAAAGACAAUAGUUUUAGAAAAGAGAAAUAAAACUAAAGAUACAGAAAAAACCUUUGCAGAUUUAAGUAAAAUAAUAAUAAUAAAGUUAUAGCUAUGGAAAAAUGCAUCCUCAGGAAAAUACACUAAAAAGAAAUACACCAGAAUGUUAUGGUUGUGAUAGGACAGCAGUAUUAUGGGCGAAAUAUGUUUUCUCUUUUAUUCCGAUUGGUAGAGAAUUGGAUAUUGUAUUGAUUUAGAAACAAACAAACAAAAAGUAGGCAGAAAUAAGCCCUAAGAAGCCCUUUUUGGUGCAUGAGAACAUCAUUCAAAAAGAAGCUGUACAAUUUCUCCCUAGAUUUUUAUUAGAACUUAACAUCACAGUUCUCCAAUAUUUAGGUGGUAAAUUGGGAAUAAAAAGGCCCGGUGGGCUCUUUCUAGCCCAAAGGAGGUACUCUGCUCCCAGCAGCAAUGUCCCAGCGCCUUUUCCCACUCACCUUCAAAACAUCGUGUGCCUGUUUGCUGCAAUUUCCACAGAGAACAUGACAUAAAAUUUGGAGACUCUAGACAAUGCCUGAUGCUCAAUGACAUCAAAAACAUCUGGACUCAAAGAGAAAAAAUAGUUGAUUUUUCUGCCUUUAUUUUAUAACUUUUCUUUCCUCCCAAAAACCUACUUUCUCUUGUACACUGGAUAUAUGCAUAGUUCAUCUGCAGGUUUACUCCUAGUUAGUUUUCUCUUUUUUUGAAGACCAAGAGUUGUCCAAGGUAUCCAUAUCCCAGCUCAUAGUCCCAAACUGAAAGGUUAUAUCAGGUCAGGAUGUAAGUCGCACAUCAGGAAAAUGUCACAUCUGAAUUGAGGAGACCUGGGUGGCUGUUGGCUCACUUAGCACUGUGGCUGGAGAGGCUCUCAGCCCUCUAGACAGCAUCAUGGACCAUGUGUUAGAAAUGAUCAAACUCAGUGGCUUAUUGGAGUGGAAUGGUAGGAAGAGAGGUGUUCAAAGAACACUUCCUAUCAGUUAGUAAAAGCACAUCAAUAAAAAUAAAUCAAUGCCCACUUGUUUUCUAGGAAUCUGCUUCAUAUUCAGCAAAGACUCCCAUUAUGCUGCAUUUCUGAUAGACUAGCAUAGAAAAGAUGUGGUUUCAGCUAGAAUAAAGUAUCUUGAAUAAAAGCAUUACUCUGUCAUUGGAAUCUUCCACUGUGGACCAAAAUGUGAAGCAAAGAUAAACUCAGAUAUAAAAUUUAAAAAUAAGUAACGAGUAAGAGAUAACACAUAAUAGACAUUUGUAAAAAAAAAAAAAAAAA